RNAcentral lists this long non-coding RNA (454 nucleotides) under Equus caballus (horse). Its description in RNAcentral is "lncRNA (ENSECAG00000029392.3)". Lineage: Eukaryota; Metazoa; Chordata; Mammalia; Perissodactyla; Equidae. The record is from RNAcentral.
AGCAUGCUGCAGGGAAGUGCGGGUGGAGGGAGGCAUCCGAAAGGAGGAGCUAAGAGAUGUAAAAGAAGAAAACAGGCAGGUGAAAAAAACAUUCAGAGUUACGCUGUGUUUUCUCCAUAAUUUAGGUUUCUCUUUGCACAUGAGAUUCAGUAGACCGAUCCUUAAGGAGCGUGAACUUAUUUUUUACGGGAUGUCAAAGAGGAACAAAGAGGACCUUCCAAGAUAUCUUCUGCUGAAUAUGUCAUUCAAGAUUCUUCCUAGCCAGACCUUUGCUAAUUGGAGAUAAACGUCUCUAGUACAUAGUUUAUAUUUUAGUUGUGGGUCCUGCUAGUUGUGAUAUGUGGGAUGCCGCCUCAGCAUGGCCUAAUGAACGGUGCCAUGUCCACGACCAGGAUCCGAACCGGCGAAACCCUGGGCCACUGAAGCGGAGCAUGUGAACUUAACCCCUCGCCCA